This 253-nucleotide ribosomal RNA is filed under the name uncultured bacterium. RNAcentral's name for it is "partial 16S ribosomal RNA". It matches the Rfam family "Bacterial small subunit ribosomal RNA", at positions 524 to 776 of the family's 1533-position model. The record is from RNAcentral.
UACGUAGGUGGCAAGCGUUGUCCGGAAUUAUUGGGCGUAAAGAGCUCGUAGGCGGUCUGUCGCGUCUGCUGUGAAAACUCGGGGCUUAACCCCGGGCCUGCAGUGGGUACGGGCAGACUAGAGUGCGGUAGGGGAGACUGGAAUUCCUGGUGUAGCGGUGAAAUGCGCAGAUAUCAGGAGGAACACCGGUGGCGAAGGCGGGUCUCUGGGCCGUAACUGACGCUGAGGAGCGAAAGCAUGGGGAGCGAACAGG